GACGAACGCUGGCGGCGUGCUUAACACAUGCAAGUCGAACGGUAAGGCCCUUCGGGGUACACGAGUGGCGAACGGGUGAGUAACACGUGGGUGAUCUGCCCUGCACUUCGGGAUAAGCCUGGGAAACUGGGUCUAAUACCGGAUAGGACCACUGCCUGCAUGGGUGGUGGUGGAAAGCUUUUGCGGUGUGGGAUGGGCCCGCGGCCUAUCAGCUUGUUGGUGGGGUGAGGGCCUACCAAGGCGACGACGGGUAGCCGGCCUGAGAGGGUGACCGGCCACACUGGGACUGAGAUACGGCCCAGACUCCUACGGGAGGCAGCAGUGGGGAAUAUUGCACAAUGGGCGCAAGCCUGAUGCAGCGACGCCGCGUGAGGGAUGACGGCCUUCGGGUUGUAAACCUCUUUCAGCACCGACGAAGCGCAAGUGACGGUAGGGCAGAAGAAGGACCGGCCAACUACGUGCCAGCCGCCGCAGUAA
RNAcentral lists this ribosomal RNA (477 nucleotides) under uncultured bacterium. RNAcentral's name for it is "partial 16S ribosomal RNA". It matches the Rfam family "Bacterial small subunit ribosomal RNA", at positions 28 to 523 of the family's 1533-position model. The record is from RNAcentral.